GUGUAUUGUUUUCAGUGGCUAGCCGGGAGGUUGAAAACAUCAUCCUGCGAUGGAGAUCCAAUUUAUCGGUUGAUGGAGGAAGAUUCAUCGAUUACUUAAAGAGUCUAUCGGGAUUUGAGUGACCAGGAUGGCAGUUCCAAAAAGUUCCGUCGAUGGCUCAAAGUUUCGUGGAGCAAAGGAUCAACGUUUGCUGCUCUCAUACUACUGGAUUCGAAGAGGCGAUGUUGGGCGAGUUAAUGAUCGCAUUUGAACCCGAAGUGUAAGGUUCAGAUGCAAGACCAAAUUCGACGGAGCUUUUUCCUAAAAAAGUUUAGAAUAAAACGGCUUCCAAAAAAGUGUAUAACAUGUUUUUCUUUUGAUUCACACAUGUAAGAUAAACAGGAAUAAAAUACCGUAAAAACAAUAAA
This 407-nucleotide long non-coding RNA is filed under the name Aedes aegypti (yellow fever mosquito). RNAcentral describes it as "lncRNA AAEL025622". The record is from RNAcentral. Lineage: Eukaryota; Metazoa; Arthropoda; Insecta; Diptera; Culicidae.